UAGCUCAAAUUUGAAAUCUGGCGUCUUCGACGUCCGAGUUGUAAUCUCGAGAAGCGUUUUCCGCGCUGGACCGUGUACAAGUCUCCUGGAACGGAGCGUCAUAGAGGGUGAGAAUCCCGUCUUGGACCCGGGCCCACAGUGCUCUGUGAUACGCUCUCAAAGAGUCGAGUUGUUUGGGAAUGCAGCUCAAAAUGGGUGGUGAACUCCAUCUAAAGCUAAAUAUUGGCGAGAGACCGAUAGCGAACAAGUACCGUGAGGGAAAGAUGAAAAGCACUUUGGAAAGAGAGUUAACAGUACGUGAAAUUGUUGGAAGGGAAACACAUGCAGUGAUACUUGCUAUUCGGGGCAACUCGAUUGGCAGGCCCGCAUCAGUUUUUCGGGGCGGAAAAUCGUAGAGAGAAGGUAGCAGUUUCGGCUGUGUUAUAGCUCUUUACUGGAUUCGCCCUGGGGGACUGAGGAACGCAGCGUGCUUUUAGCAUGAGCUUCGGCUUAUCCACGCUUAGGAUGCGGGUUUAUGGCUGUAUAUGACCCGACUUG
RNAcentral lists this ribosomal RNA (537 nucleotides) under uncultured Sporidiobolus. RNAcentral describes it as "eukaryotic LSU rRNA". It matches the Rfam family "Eukaryotic large subunit ribosomal RNA", at positions 104 to 656 of the family's 3401-position model. The record is from RNAcentral. Lineage: Eukaryota; Fungi; Basidiomycota; Microbotryomycetes; Sporidiobolales.